CCUACGGGUGGCAGCAGUCGAGAAUCUUUCACAAUGGGGGAAACCCUGAUGGUGCGACGCCGCGUGGGGGAAUGAAGGUCUUCGGAUUGUAAACCCCUGUCAUGUGGGAGCAAAUUAAAAAGAUAGUACCACAAGAGGAAGAGACGGCUAACCCUGUGCCAGCAGCCGCGGUAAUACAGAGGUAUCAAGCGUUGUUCGGCAUCACUGGGCGUAAAGUGUGCGUAGGCUGUUUCGUAAGUCGUGUGUGAAAGGCCCGGGCUCAACCCGCGGACGGCACAUGAUACUGCGAGACUAGAGUAAUGGAGGGGUAACCGGAAUUCUCGGUGUAGCAGUGAAAUGCAUAGAUAUCGAGAAGAACACUCGUGGCGAAGGCGGGUUCCUGGACAUUAACUGACGCUGAGGCACGAAGGCCAGGGGAGCGAAAGGGAUUAGAUACCCCUGUAGUC
RNAcentral lists this ribosomal RNA (446 nucleotides) under uncultured bacterium. RNAcentral describes it as "partial 16S ribosomal RNA". It matches the Rfam family "Bacterial small subunit ribosomal RNA", at positions 338 to 795 of the family's 1533-position model. The record is from RNAcentral.